Monodelphis domestica (gray short-tailed opossum) is the source of this 1881-nucleotide long non-coding RNA. RefSeq lists it as uncharacterized. The record is from RefSeq and is a predicted model, not a curated record. Lineage: Eukaryota; Metazoa; Chordata; Mammalia; Didelphimorphia; Didelphidae.
CUGACUGGAGGGGACAGGGUCAUAAGAGGCAGCAGAGGUGUAGGGAUAGAGACAUCCCUGGGGCUCUGGCUAUAAUCCAUCACAGUCACUAUAGUCAUCUCCCUCCUUGAGAAACUCUCUGGAGAGAGCAGAAUUAAGGAACCUCAAUCUCCACUCACCCUCCUGAACAAGCCCAACCCCUUGGGACCCCUUUUACCAUUGAUGGUGAGGGAGGGGAAAAGAAGGCAGGAAGGGGGAAUGAUGGAGUGAAAAUAGAGCCUGAGAGGGUUGGAGUGAGAGGGGCACUGACUGCUGGCAUAGAGGUUAGUGGGAUGUUCAGAGGUAGGGUUGUUGGGAGAAGGACCUCUGCCUCACCAAGGUGGACACUGACAUCACUGUCAACCAAUUCACUGCUUGGAGGGAUUAACAAGGUGAGGGUCUGGCUAGCCAGAACUCAUCUUCUCUUGUCUGCUUGUCCCCUUGGGGCUGCUAAUGAAUGUCUAUGAGGGGAGAGAGGUCCAGAAAUCUACCAAAAGGCAGAAAGGUGGUCAGGAAACACAAGCCACAGACUGCUGAAUCCAGUCCCACAAGGAAGAAAAGAUCCCUGCUAGUCCCUCCAGAACAACAGCUUUCCAUUCUGAGGAAGGGCUAAGUGAAGUGAAGAAGAGGGGACAAGUUUGGUCUAUUUUACACAGCCAUGAAGGGAAUGGAGAAAAGCAGGUCCUGAGUCCAGGAUCCUCUUGUCUGCCAAGCUACCUGUCUUACAUCUUGGUAGCUACCUCUUCUGAGAGCCAAGCUUAAUGCACUCAAGUUGCCUCAGAACCAGGAGGAGAAAUUCCCCAUAGAGCCAGGACUUCUGUGAGUCUUCAGUCAUGGAGGAGAAGAGAUCAAGUAUCUUGUAGAGAAGACUAAAGGGGAGUGUCAAAAGAACCUUGAGAAACAUCUGCCUGUAUUUCGGAGGAGAUAUUAAGAGGCCAAAGGCAAAGAGAUUGAGCACAUUGAUUCUUUGGAAAAAUCCCAAGGAAGAGGUUUCUACUAGGAAGACAAGGCUUGACUGGAUUCAUUUCCUGUUGUCUGUGUGCCCAUAGGCCUGCUGAUGGAUGUCUAAGAGGGGAGAGAUAUCAGAAAUUUAUCCAAAGGCUACCCUGAGGCUCACUUGUCAGAAAAGUCAUCGGGAAACACAAACAUCAGAUGGCAGAAUCCACUCCCAAGGGAAAGAAAUCAUCUGUGCUGGUCCCCCAAAACCAUGCCAUUCCAUUUUGAGCCUGAAGACAAAGAUGAGGCCUGAAGCAGGAGUCCAGUGCAGUUAUUUGUAAACAUGGGGCCAGGGAUAUGAGAGAGCAUCCUCCCCAGGAAGGCUAAAGGCCCUUCUUAAUAGGCCCACCCUUAUUCCUACAAAUACUCUAGUUAACAGGAAUCUAAAAGAAAGCACAAAGCAGAAGGUGUCUCCACUCCAACCUGACAUCUUCCAACCUGCUACCAUGGAUCCAACAAAUGUUGCAGUGCAGCAUGGGAUACUCCCACAUGAACCCCACCCAGCCCCUCAGCCAGCCACACACCCAGAGAAGACACUGCCAUGCUCACAUGCAAAUUCUUGUUCCCCCAAAUCACUUCAUAAAAUGUUGUCAUCCCCAUCCAUUGGCAGUUACGGUGGCAGAAGCCCAAAGGCGGCCCACAGAGGCACUUUCAGAUACACAUGCCUGACUGAGGCAGAAGAGUCAUGGCAACCCAAGGCAACACAGGCUGGCAAUAUUCAUUCCUAUGGAAUGCGAUGGUGGAGGAGUCAGACAUCUCUCCUCCUCGGUGAGCUUCCCUUCUUUGCUUAUUGAGCCUGAAUGAGUGCUCCCCCAUUGGCCCUGCCCAGCCCUAGACUGGAAUAUGAGAGGAGGGUCUCCUGAAGAA